AAACGAGUGCCCCAAGUGUUAUCCGGAAUAACUGGGCGUAAAGGGUGCGUAGGCGGCUAUAUUAGUCUUUUUUUAAAUCCCCAGGCUUAACCUGGGAACCGCAAAGGAAACGGUAUAACUAGAGGAUGUGAGAGGUGUGUGGAACUCAUGGUGUAGGGGUGAAAUCCGUUGAUAUCAUGGGGAACACCAAAUGCGAAGGCAACACACUGGCACAUUCCUGACGCUGAGGCACGAAAGCGUGGGUAGCGAAAGGGAUUAGAAACCCUAGUAGUCC
RNAcentral lists this ribosomal RNA (274 nucleotides) under uncultured bacterium. Its description in RNAcentral is "partial 16S ribosomal RNA". It matches the Rfam family "Bacterial small subunit ribosomal RNA", at positions 523 to 796 of the family's 1533-position model. The record is from RNAcentral.